ACUCAAAUGAAUUGACGGGGGCCCGCACAAGCAGCGGAGCAUGUGGUUUAAUUCGACGCAACGCGAAGAACCUUACCUGGGCUUGACAUGUUCUUGACCGCCCUGGAAACAGGGCUUCCCUUCGGGGCAGGAUCACAGGUGGUGCAUGGCUGUCGUCAGCUCGUGUCGUGAGAUGUUGGGUUAAGUCCCGCAACGAGCGCAACCCCCGUCGCAUGUUGCCAGCAUUUAGUUGGGGACUCAUGCGAGACUGCCGGUGACAAACCGGAGGAAGGUGGGGAUGACGUCAAGUCAUCAUGCCCCUUAUGUCCAGGGCUACACACGUGCUACAUUGGCGCAUACAGAGGGUUGCGAUACCGCGAGGUGGAGCGAAUCCCUUAAAGUGCGUCUCGGUUCGGAUUGCAGGCUGAAACUCGCCUGCAUGAAGGCGGAGUUGCUAGUAAUCCCAGAUCAGCACUGCUGGGGUGAAUACGUUCCCGGGCCUUGUACACACCGCCCGU
RNAcentral lists this ribosomal RNA (497 nucleotides) under uncultured bacterium. RNAcentral describes it as "partial 16S ribosomal RNA". It matches the Rfam family "Bacterial small subunit ribosomal RNA", at positions 899 to 1397 of the family's 1533-position model. The record is from RNAcentral.